Molecule: ribosomal RNA, 1374 nt
Filed under: uncultured bacterium
Lineage: Bacteria
Description: bacterial SSU rRNA
Rfam family: Bacterial small subunit ribosomal RNA
Source: RNAcentral
GGGAUGAACGCUGGCGGCGUGCCUAAUACAUGCAAGUCGAGCGAACGGACGAGAAGCUUGCUUCUCUGAUGUUAGCGGCGGACGGGUGAGUAACACGUGGAUAACCUACCUAUAAGACUGGGAUAACUUCGGGAAACCGGAGCUAAUACCGGAUAAUAUUUUGAACCGCAUGGUUCAAAAGUGAAAGACGGUCUUGCUGUCACUUAUAGAUGGAUCCGCGCUGCAUUAGCUAGUUGGUAAGGUAACGGCUUACCAAGGCAACGAUGCAUAGCCGACCUGAGAGGGUGAUCGGCCACACUGGAACUGAGACACGGUCCAGACUCCUACGGGAGGCAGCAGUAGGGAAUCUUCCGCAAUGGGCGAAAGCCUGACGGAGCAACGCCGCGUGAGUGAUGAAGGUCUUCGGAUCGUAAAACUCUGUUAUUAGGGAAGAACAUAUGUGUAAGUAACUGUGCACAUCUUGACGGUACCUAAUCAGAAAGCCACGGCUAACUACGUGCCAGCAGCCGCGGUAAUACGUAGGUGGCAAGCGUUAUCCGGAAUUAUUGGGCGUAAAGCGCGCGUAGGCGGUUUUUUAAGUCUGAUGUGAAAGCCCACGGCUCAACUGUGGAGGGUCAUUGGAAACUGGAAAACUUGAGUGCAGAAGAGGAAAGUGGAAUUCCAUGUGUAGCGGUGAAAUGCGCAGAGAUAUGGAGGAACACCAGUGGCGAAGGCGACUUUCUGGUCUGUAACUGACGCUGAUGUGCGAAAGCGUGGGGAUCAAACAGGAUUAGAUACCCUGGUAGUCCACGCCGUAAACGAUGAGUGCUAAGUGUUAGGGGGUUUCCGCCCCUUAGUGCUGCAGCUAACGCAUUAAGCACUCCGCCUGGGGAGUACGACCGCAAGGUUGAAACUCAAAGGAAUUGACGGGGACCCGCACAAGCGGUGGAGCAUGUGGUUUAAUUCGAAGCAACGCGAAGAACCUUACCAAAUCUUGACAUCCUUUGACAACUCUAGAGAUAGAGCCUUCCCCUUCGGGGGACAAAGUGACAGGUGGUGCAUGGUUGUCGUCAGCUCGUGUCGUGAGAUGUUGGGUUAAGUCCCGCAACGAGCGCAACCCUUAAGCUUAGUUGCCAUCAUUAAGUUGGGCACUCUAAGUUGACUGCCGGUGACAAACCGGAGGAAGGUGGGGAUGACGUCAAAUCAUCAUGCCCCUUAUGAUUUGGGCUACACACGUGCUACAAUGGACAAUACAAAGGGCAGCGAAACCGCGAGGUCAAGCAAAUCCCAUAAAGUUGUUCUCAGUUCGGAUUGUAGUCUGCAACUCGACUACAUGAAGCUGGAAUCGCUAGUAAUCGUAGAUCAGCAUGCUACGGUGAAUACGUUCCCGGGUCU